CAUUUUUCUAAUACUCGAUUUUGCUUUAAAUCAAAAAUUCGUUGCUACAUAAAAAUUAGGUUUAUUAGGCUCAAUACGAUCCAAAAGUUACAAAAUUGAAUAAUACCAUUCAAAACUAAUCAAACAAUUUAAAAACGUAAUUAAUACGUCUAAAAGUCUCAAACCUCAAAACAUAAAGAGAGAAACAUGGUGGUGUUUCUUCAACCUUUUCCCAUUUCCAUUACCGUAACCGGUAGAAAAGAGCAAAUAUGGAUGGUAGAGCUCAGCUAGCAGACAUCCUAAUGUCAAGGACGGCACCACCACUGUAUUCGAGCCAGCAACCUACCGAGCAUAUAUCGGUGCAUCUCUUCACCUCCGUCGACCACUAGAGCUUUUCCACAAGAUUAUGGCAACUCCACCAUCCGUCGCAACUCCUCCUUAGCCGCAAUCUCCUUUGGCCGGACCGGCUUCACCAACUUUUAAGAAGCGCAGAGACCGACCUCAUGGUUCUAGUAAGAAGCAACUUUACCAAUUUUGUGAAUUACUAGAUAUGUAUUAGAUAUAACUUUGAUUCUCUGCGUAGGAAAUUAAUGUUUGAGAAAAUGACACAAAGGAGUUUUUAUGUUUGGUUAAUGAUGAUAUAUGGGUAUUUUAAGAAGGGUGAUAUCGACACGAGGGAUUUUUAAUCGGAUGAGUUUGAGGAACUUGAUUGUUUGGAAUUCAUAGAUUUCUGGGUGUAUGCUAAGGUUUGAGAAAUUAAGGUUUCUAUAUAUUUUUAUUUCCUCAUUUUAUAAUCUGGAUUUUUUGUCAAUGGUGUAGAGGAAGAGGUUAAGAUCUAUGAGCUCAAGAAAGAUGAUUUCUCCAUAAAAUUGACCAUUUUUUGUGCUAGAAUCAUAUUUGUUAUUCUUCUCAACGGUAAUAGAGAAUUUUUUUGGACACUUUUUUUCGAAUAUUCUUGUGAAUUCCAUUUCCUCGUUAGUUUUAAAUCAAUAAUGUUUCAACUAAUUUGUAUCUACAAUCACAUUGCAGAGCAGUUCAACUUUUAUUUUGCCUACUCUUUUCAAUUGCUUCAGUUGUAAGUUGAAUAACAAAUUGUCGUAGAGAUCCAAUUUGUGAUGCUUGUAGGAACAACUAAACUCGAGAGUUUCAACACUUGGAUACUUUUUGGAUGCCCAUGAGAUUGUUCAUGGACAGGUAUGCAAAUGUGGUUUUUAGUCUUCAUUUUAUUUUGGCAGGUAUUAUCGAUUUCACUCCUAAUUUUUAUUAUUAUUGCAGGAGCAGUUGAACACAGUUGCUUGAAGUAACAAUGAUUAUUAUAGCAACCAAACAAGCAUCGAGGGCUGGUGACGCAGCUUUUCACAUUAUAACCUUUAAUUCAUUUUCAACCUGUAAUAUUUGAACUGAAUCUUACUCUUCUCAUCGGGAUAAUUGAACUCAACAACACCAAUACAGGAUACUUCUUAUCUUUCUCAACAAAGUUUGCAUGUGUUGGUAAAGUAUAUAUGUUAUACAUUUUGAAUAAGAACUUCGUUUUUAUGUUGGAUGGUAACUUAUGUCAAUGUCUUCAAUUGUUCAUCGAAGUUUAAUAUGUCGAGUUUUGGAUUGUUUGUCACUUUUUUUAGUGUUUG
RNAcentral lists this long non-coding RNA (1607 nucleotides) under Olea europaea subsp. europaea. The record is from RNAcentral. Lineage: Eukaryota; Viridiplantae; Streptophyta; Magnoliopsida; Lamiales; Oleaceae.